UAGGGAAUAUUGCAAAAUGGGCGAAAGCCCGAUGCAGCAACGCCGCGUGGGCGAUGAAGGCCUUCGGGUCGUAAAGCCCUUUUUGAGGGGAUGAGGAAGGACAGUACCCUCAGAAUAAGCCUCGGCUAACUACGUGCCAGCAGCCGCGGUAAAACGUAGGAGGCGAGCGUUAUCCGGAUUUACUGGGCGUAAAGCGCGUGCAGGCGGAUUGGAGAGUUGGAUGUGAAAGCUCCCGGCUUAACUGGGAGAGGUCGUUCAACACUUCCAGUCUUGAGUGCAGGAGAGGGAAGUGGAAUUCCGGGUGUAGUGGUGAAAUGCGUAGAUAUCCGGAGGAACACCAGUGGCGAAAGCGGCUUCCUGGACUGUAACUGACGCCCAGACGCGAAAGCUAGGGUAGCAAACG
Molecule: ribosomal RNA, 403 nt
Filed under: uncultured bacterium
Lineage: Bacteria
Description: bacterial SSU rRNA
Rfam family: Bacterial small subunit ribosomal RNA
Source: RNAcentral